UUUCACCUGUGUCCCUUGCUCACACCUGUUGCUCGUUACCCAGUGUGCAUUUAUCUGUGUGUUUCCUGUCUGCUUUGUGGGAUCAUUGUGUCUUUCCUGCUCCCGCCUUUGUUAAUUACCCUGCGUGACAGUUACAAAGAAUACUCUCAGUAGGAACAUUCUCCGUCAUUGGUGAACAGGUGUUUUUUCAGAUCCAUGUCCUCUGCUCUGAAAGAAGGCAUAUUCUCGUGGGACCGCUUCAAAUCUCCCUAAGAUUUUGGAUUGGAUUUGACAGUCCUGCACUGUGACUCAACUCUUCUCCUCUCCAGACAGAAACUGACCUAAGUGGAGGUUUUGAGCCGAGCUAAGGAACACUUCACAUCCCGGACGUCAAAGGAUAAAUUCUGAAACCACUUCAGUCCGAGAAAAUCAGAGACUUCCUUUGUAGCUUGAAUGUUAUGUAAUAAUUUAACUCGUAUGUUACUGAACUUGAUGCUUUUUUUACUCAAAAAAUGGCAGCAUUGACGCAAUGAUUAUCUCUAAUAUCUGCAAAACCCUUUUCCUUGCCAUUGCUGGAUCGAUUACUUUUGAUGCCUUCAUCAGUUAACUCUCCUACUCUUCUCAGUUUAAUCUAUCAAAAAUACUGAAACUUCAUUAGAGAACACAGCCUUGAACGAGCUGCUCUUGCUAUAGUUUAGCGCCUCAGGUACUCAGCCAAUGGGAAUAAUACACACGUUAACAUCUACCUAAAACUGAUGAGCAGUUUCCUCUGAUGCAAUGUAAACUUUUUUACAUGACCUACUCAAACAGUUAACCAUUUAAUUGUCUUCAGAGCAAUGAAACAAUGUUACCCAGCUUUCUUACUGAUGCUUGAUUCUUAUUGGUCAAAACCCCUUGACGAUGGUUAUUAACUUUCACUAA
Molecule: long non-coding RNA, 900 nt
Organism: Notolabrus celidotus (New Zealand spotty)
Lineage: Eukaryota; Metazoa; Chordata; Actinopteri; Labriformes; Labridae
Exons: 3
Source: RefSeq, a predicted model, not a curated record